CCUGCGGCCAGCCAGAGGCUCCUAGGUCUGGCCCUGGUGACCCACGUCCUCACUCUUUCUGGCUGACUCACAGCCUCUCAAGCCACACUCCAGCCGAUGCCACCCGUCCUUGGCCUGGCCCCUCUGUCCCGACUCUACACAGUCACUAAUUACCUUAGUCAUCUUUCCAUCCAUGCUUGUUAAGCUAAUGGGGAAGGCAAACAGAAAUCUCAGCAAAUGUGGAAAAUUCCUGCUGAUGAGGAUGGAGCAUUUGUUUGAGAACUCAAGACUCUUUAGUCCUGGUCCUGCGAACUUAGGAGCUGGGUUCCUAGACCUUGCAGAUCUGACAAAUGCCAAGGACUUUUCCUAGGUGGAAUCUGGUCCAGAGACCACCCCAGGCUGCUCAGAAUGGCUCAAACUAGCUGCAUCUCCAGAAACCCCUCAGGAGUCAGUUUUACAUGGAACUAAUCAUCCAGGCUAAGAAAGCGAGCACUGCCAGCUUCCCACCCUCUUGGCUGAUGUCCUUCCAGUUGUCAUCCCAACCACAGGCCGGCACUCUUCUGUCUUCUGUUCCUGACUGCUAGGAUUGUCUCACUUGGAACAUUACAUAAAUGAAAUCUCCUCAUAUGUACUCGAUUAUGUCUGUUUUUUUU
Molecule: long non-coding RNA, 632 nt
Organism: Talpa occidentalis (Iberian mole)
Lineage: Eukaryota; Metazoa; Chordata; Mammalia; Eulipotyphla; Talpidae
Exons: 4
Source: RefSeq, a predicted model, not a curated record